Callithrix jacchus (white-tufted-ear marmoset) is the source of this 141-nucleotide small nuclear RNA. Its record names the gene U4. It matches the Rfam family "U4 spliceosomal RNA". Rfam says of the family: U4 small nuclear RNA (U4 snRNA) is a component of the major U2-dependent spliceosome. NCBI's taxonomy places the organism in Eukaryota, Metazoa, Chordata, Mammalia, Primates, Cebidae. The record is from Ensembl.
AGCUUUGCACAGUGGCAGUGUCAGAGCCAGUGAGGUUUCUCUGAGGCGCAAUUUUUGCUAAUUGAGAACUUUCCCCAAUACCCCGCCAUGACGACUUGAAAUAUAGUCGGCAUUGGCAAUUUUUGACAGUCUCUAUGGAGA